RNAcentral lists this ribosomal RNA (442 nucleotides) under uncultured bacterium. RNAcentral's name for it is "bacterial SSU rRNA". It matches the Rfam family "Bacterial small subunit ribosomal RNA", at positions 336 to 793 of the family's 1533-position model. The record is from RNAcentral.
CUCCUACGGGAGGCAGCAGUGGGGAAUAUUGCACAAUGGGCGCAAGCCUGAUGCAGCAACGCCGUGUGAGUGAAGAAGGUUUUCGGAUCGUAAAACUCUGUCCUAAGGGAAGAAACAAAUGACGGUACCUUAGGAGGAAGCCCCGGCUAACUACGUGCCAGCAGCCGCGGUAAUACGUAGGGGGCAAGCGUUAUCCGGAAUCACUGGGCGUAAAGGGUGCGUAGGCGGCUUAGCAAGCCAGGGGUGAAAGGCAUUGGCUCAACCAAUGUAAGCCUUUGGAACUGUUAAGCUUGAGUGCAGGAGAGGUAAGUGGAAUUCCUAGUGUAGAGGUGAAAUUCGUAGAUAUUAGGAGGAACACCAGUGGCGAAGGCGACUUACUGGACUGUAACUGACGCUGAUGCACGAAAGCGUGGGUAGCGAACAGGAUUAGAUUCCCUGGUAG